UAGGGAAUCUUCCACAAUGGACGAAAGUCUGAUGGAGCAACGCCGCGUGAGUGAANAAGGGUUUCGGCUCGUAAAACUCUGUUGUUAAAGAAGAACAUAUCUGAGAGUAACUGUUCAGGUAUUGACGGUAUUUAACCAGAAAGCCACGGCUAACUACGUGCCAG
RNAcentral lists this ribosomal RNA (164 nucleotides) under uncultured bacterium. Its description in RNAcentral is "partial 16S rRNA". It matches the Rfam family "Bacterial small subunit ribosomal RNA", at positions 355 to 511 of the family's 1533-position model. The record is from RNAcentral.